GGGGCUUAACAAAGGAAGGGUGAGGUCGUCCUCCGAAGGGCGGAGGGUACGGGCUGAACAGCUGGGCACCGAGGCUGCACCUGGCCAGUCCAAGCCAGAGGAAGGUGGAGGCCCCAGCUGGGCGCAGCAGGCAGGCGCGAGGCAGGUAGAGAAGGCAUUCGAAGCCCAGAGAGGUGAAGCAGUUCCCUCAAGGACACACAGCAAGGAAGCGGUUGCCCCAGGACUCAGCUCAGGUUUGUGUAACCCCAGGACCGUGUUCCUUGUCGUGGGCAGCGAGAGGCCCCAGGCAACAUAGCGACUCCAGAGCAGCAGCACCAGCACCUGACGAAGCUGAAGACCUCAGAAAACCUGAUCAACAUGAAAUAUGGUAUGAAGUAGUACUCAAUAAAGAGAAAACAUGAUGGACAGUAAGCAAGCCUGGAUCUGAGAGAGAUAUCAUCUUGCAAGGAUGCCUGCUUUACAAACAUCCUUGAAACAACAAUCCAGAAAAAAAAAGGUGUUGCUGUCUUUGCUCAGAAGACACACAGAUACGUGACAGAACCAUGGAGAAUUGCCUCCCAACACUGUUCAGCCAGAGCCUUCCACCCUUGUCUGCAGGACAGUCUCAACGUUCCACCAUUAAAUACUUCUUCUGUCACAUCCUGCUUAUUUAUGCCUAACCAAGGUUCUAGGUCCCGAUCGACUGUGUCUGGCAGCACUCCACUGCCAAACCCAGAAUAAGGCAGCGCUCAGGAUCCCGAAGGGGCAUGGCUGGGGAUCAGAACUUCUGGGUUUGAGUGAGGAGUGGGUCCACCCUCUUGAAUUUCAAAGGAGGAAGAGGCUGGAUGUGAAGGAACUGGGGGAGGGAAAGUGUCAGUUCCGAACUCUUAGGUCAAUGAGGGAGGAGACUGGUAAGGUCCCAGCUCCCGAGGUACUGAUGUGGGAAUGGCCUAAGAAUCUCAUAUCCUCAGGAAGAAGGUGCUGGAAUCCUGAGGGGUAGAGUUCUGGGUAUAUUUGUGGCUUAAGGCUCUUUGGCCCCUGAAGGGCAGAGGCUGGAACCAUUAGGUCCAGGGUUUGGGGUGAUAGUAAUGGGAUCUCUUGAUUCCUCAAGAGUCUGAGGAUCGAGGGUUGCCCAUUCUUCCAUCUUGCCACCUAAUCCUUACUCCACUUGAGGGUAUCACCAGCCCUUCUAGCUCCAUGAAGGUGCCCCUGGGCAAGCACAAUCUGAGCAUGAAAGAUGCCCCAGAGGCCUUGGGUGUCAUCCACUCAUCAUCCAGCAUCCACACUCUGAGGGUGUGGCCAGCACCAUGACGUCAUGUUGCUGUGACUAUCCCUGCAGCGUGCCUCUCCAGCCACCUGCCAACCGUAGAGCUGCCGACAUCCUCCUCUGGUGGGAGUGGCCUGCAUGGUGCCAGGCUGAGGCCUAGUGUCAGACAGGGAGCCUGGAAUCAUAGGGAUCCAGGACUCAAAAGUGCUAGAGAAUGGCCAUAUGUCACCAUCCAUGAAAUCUCAAGGGCUUCUGGGUGGAGGGCACAGGGACCUGAACUUAUGGGUUUUCCCCAAGUCUAUUGCUCUCCCAAGUGAGUCUCCCAGAUACGAGGCACUGUGCCAGCAUCAGCCUUAUCUCCACCACAUCUUGUAAAAGGGACUACCCAGGGCCCUGAUGAACACCAUGGUGUGUACAGGAGUAGGGGGUGGAGGCACGGACUCCUGUGAGGUCACAGCCAAGGGAGCAUCAUCAUGGGUGGGGAGGAGGCAAUGGACAGGCUUGAGAACGGGGAUGUGGUUGUAUUUGGUUUUCUUUGGUUAGAUAAAGUGCUGGGUAUAGGAUUGAGAGUGGAGUAUGAAGACCAGUUAGGAUGGAGGAUCAGAUUGGAGUUGGGUUAGAGAUGGGGUAAAAUUGUGCUUCGGAUGAGUUUGGGAUUGACACUGUGGAGGUGGUUUGGGAUGGCAUGGCUUUGGGAUGGAAAUAGAUUUGUUUUGAUGUUGGCUCAGACAUCCUUGGGGAUUGAACUGGGGAUGAAGCUGGGUUUGAUUUUGGAGGUAGAAGACGUGGAAGUAGCUGUCAGAUUUGACAGUGGCCAUGAGUUUUGUUUGAUGGGGAAUCAAACAAUGGGGGAAGACAUAAGGGUUGGCUUGUUAGGUUAAGUUGCGUUGGGUUGAUGGGGUCGGGGCUGUGUAUAAUGCAGUUGGAUUGGUUUGUAUUAAAUUGGGUUGGGUCAGGUUUUGGUUGAGGAUGAGUUGAGGAUAUGCUUGGGGACACCGGAUCCAUGAGGUUCUCACUGGAGUGGAGACAAACUUCCUUUCCAGGAUGAAUCCGGGGAAGCCUUAAUUCACGUGUAGGGGAGGUCAGGCCACUGGCUAAGUAUAUCCUUCCACUCCAGCUCUAAGAUGGUCUUAAAUUGUGAUUAUCUAUAUCCACCUCUGUCUCCCUCACUGUGCUUGGAGUUUACCUGAUCACUCAACUAGAAACAGGGG
This 2457-nucleotide long non-coding RNA is filed under the name Homo sapiens (human). Its description in RNAcentral is "HSALNT0261595". Lineage: Eukaryota; Metazoa; Chordata; Mammalia; Primates; Hominidae. The record is from RNAcentral.